AUGUAACACGAGAAAUAUCUAAAAUUCAGUCCGAGGUACGUUUCUCGCCGGUACACACGAUUAAGUGAUAUAAAAAAAACAUGUAGAGUGCCAGGAGUACUAUAUGGAAUCUUAAGUUUUGAAAAGCGAUUCUUGCAUCAACAACGUCAAGCUUAGCCUGAACUGCACCAAAGACUACAACACCUACAACACCAACAACAGCCGUUCGUACCCCUACACCCACGCCCAGAGUGAACCCUGCCUCAAAAAUAAGCACUGCGAUCCUAGCAUAAAAGGCAAGGAUUUCGGCAGUCAACACGGCAAAAACAACGACCCUUGCAACAAAAAUUACUCCGAUUUAUUCUACCGCAAGAAUCCCUCGAAGUUGUCGCGGACAGCGAGAGCCAGCCUCGACAACGUGUCCGUCAAUCCCUGGGAA
Molecule: long non-coding RNA, 418 nt
Organism: Diabrotica virgifera virgifera (western corn rootworm)
Lineage: Eukaryota; Metazoa; Arthropoda; Insecta; Coleoptera; Chrysomelidae
Exons: 3
Source: RefSeq, a predicted model, not a curated record